CGUUCAAAAUCCGAGCCCUAAUUCCCUUCCCGCUCAAAUCUCUCUAAAAUCCCAAUUUCGUAUCAAUACUCUCUCUCUCUCUACAAACCCUCAUCUCUCUGAACUCCCACCUUGCUCGCAUCCACGAUCACACCCUAAUGUUGUUGUUCCUCUUCUCCAUGUGUCUUCCUCUUCUUCCAAAUUUCUCUUGCUGGUGAAAAUUUCUGUUGCUACAUUAGCUUCCCCAAUGACUUGAUUGAAACUUACCCUCUUGAGCCUAAAAUUUUGGUUUUCCCGCGAUAUACUCCCUCGUAUUGAUCGAUAACACCAUCUUCCUCCAUCGUAGGCCCUAAUUCGUCUUCUUCUUCUUCUUGAGGCUCAUACGACUGGGGAAACGAAAUGGUUUAGAUGAUGGUUUAGCUACAUGCCUACAUCAUCCUCUAAUUAGUUGUGGUUCCUGAGAAACGAAAUGGUUUAGAUGAUGCUUUAGACCGACUGGGAACUCCAUUAGUGAGAAAAAUUCCUCUGCGCAAUCUUCGAAUCAACCCCUUGAACGAGAGGGUUUUGGGUAUCACAAAACCAUAAGUUAUUUUUCCCUCUCUCCCAUCAUCUCCCUGGGUAUCUAGGUCUGGAACUAUCUCUUGCUCCUCUGGUCCCCAAUAGCUGAAACCCCAAAUACUAGUACAUUAUUUUCCUCUCUCACUUCAAUUUCUUCUGGUUUUUGGUUAUUUGGUUCAUGACUUACAAUUAAAUCAUCACACAAGAGGAAUCCGUGGUGAAGGUGGAAGGAAUUUCAUCACUGCUCACUCAGAAGAUUGGGGUUUCACACCAGCAAAGAACGGACAGCAAGGAGCUCUUAUUGAUCUCUUGAGGCCGUCUUUAGAUGGGCAGACAUCAAUCUCAUUGGAGUCGAGGAACCCAAGUAUAUUCCUAGAGGAGAAUUUAGAGGUAUUCCCACCCCUUCUUUUUUCAAACAACCUAUUGAAUCACAGUGGAUUUUGUAGUUCGAGCUUGAGAGGGUUUUUUUUUUGCUUUCAAGUUGUCAUUGGAUUUUCAUUUACUUAAUGUGGUGAUGAAAGCUUUCAUAUCAAUAAAUAUAUAAAAUGAAGAUGAUAUAUAAGUUAUUAACAUAAAUUUUAAUUUGGAUGACCAUAUGCAUGCAUAAUAUGUUGUAUGACAGGGAUGCUUAUUAAAUUAAUUCUUUAUGGUUCA
Long non-coding RNA from Macadamia integrifolia, 1191 nucleotides. RefSeq lists it as uncharacterized. The transcript has 2 exons. Lineage: Eukaryota; Viridiplantae; Streptophyta; Magnoliopsida; Proteales; Proteaceae. The record is from RefSeq and is a predicted model, not a curated record.